This 378-nucleotide unclassified non-coding RNA is filed under the name uncultured Pseudomonadota bacterium. Its description in RNAcentral is "uncultured proteobacterium contains 16S-23S intergenic spacer region". Lineage: Bacteria; Pseudomonadati; Pseudomonadota. The record is from RNAcentral.
UCUCCGUUAUCCGGAGCAGUCCUCUUAGAGUUCCCCCUUGCGGGUGGCAACUAAGAGUAAGGGUUGCGCUCGUUGCGGGACUUAACCCAACAUCUCACGACACGAGCUGACGACAGCCAUGCAGCACCUGUGUUCCGAUUCCCUUUCGGGCACACCCAAAUCUCUUCGGGCUCUCGGACAUGUCAAGGGUAGGUAAGGUUUUUCGCGUUGCAUCGAAUUAAUCCACAUAAUCCACCGCUUGUGCGGGUCCCCGUCAAUUCCUUUGAGUUUUAGCCUUGCGGCCGUACUCCCCAGGCGGGAUGCUUAAAGCGUUAGCUACGGCACAGAGGGGGUCGAUACCCCCCACACCUAGCAUCCACCGUUUAGGGCGUGGACUAC